This 1278-nucleotide ribosomal RNA is filed under the name Glutamicibacter nicotianae. RNAcentral's name for it is "bacterial SSU rRNA". It matches the Rfam family "Bacterial small subunit ribosomal RNA", at positions 119 to 1493 of the family's 1533-position model. The record is from RNAcentral. Lineage: Bacteria; Bacillati; Actinomycetota; Actinomycetes; Micrococcales; Micrococcaceae.
GUGUAACCUGCCCCCGACUCUGGGAUAAGCCUGGGAACUGGGUCUAAUACCGGAUAUGACCUCCUACCGCAUGGUGGGUGGUGGAAAUAUUUAUCGGUGGGGGAUGGACUCGCGCCCUAUCAUCUUGUUGGUGAGGUAAUGGCUCACCAAGGCGACGACGGGUAGCCGGCCUGAGAGGGUGACCGGCCACACUGGGACUGAGACACGGCCCAGACUCUCCCGCACAUUGGGAUGACGGCCUUCGGGUUGUAAACCUCUUUCAGUAGGGAAGAAGCGAAAGUGACGGUACCUGCAGAAGAAGCGCCGGCUAACUACGUGCCAGCAGCCGCGGUAAUACGUAGGGCGCAAGCGUUAUCCGGAUUUAUUGGGCGUAAAGAGCUCGUAGGCGGUUUGUCGCGUCUGCCGUGAAAGUCCGAGGCUCAACCUCGGAUCUGCGGUGGGUACGGGCAGACUAGAGUGAUGUAGGGGAGACUGGAAUUCCUGGUGUAGCGGUGAAAUGCGCAGAUAUCAGGAGGAACACCGAUGGCGAAGGCAGGUCUCUGGGCAUUUACUGACGCUGAGGAGCGAAAGCAUGAGGAGCGAACAGGAUUAGAUACCCUGGUAGUCCAUGCCGUAAACGUUGGGCACUAGGUGUGGGGGACAUUCCACGUUCUCCGCGCCGUAGCUAACGCAUUAAGUGCCCCGCCUGGGGAGUACGGCCGCAAGGCUAAAACUCAAAGGAAUUGACGGGGGCCCGCACAAGCGGCGGAGCAUGCGGAUUAAUUCGAUGCAACGCGAAGAACCUUACCAAGGCUUGACAUGUGCCAGACCGCUCCAGAGAUGGGGUUUCCCUUCGGGGCUGGUUCACAGGUGGUGCAUGGUUGUCGUCAGCUCGUGUCGUGAGAUGUUGGGUUAAGUCCCGCAACGAGCGCAACCCUCGUUCCAUGUUGCCAGCACGUAGUGGUGGGGACUCAUGGGAGACUGCCGGGGUCAACUCGGAGGAAGGUGGGGAUGACGUCAAAUCAUCAUGCCCCUUAUGUCUUGGGCUUCACGCAUGCUACAAUGGCCGGUACAAUGGGUUGCGAUACUUCAGUUCGGAUUGGGGUCUGCAACUGGACCCCUUGAAGUGGGAGUCGCUAGUAAUAGCAGAUCAGCAACGGUGCGGUGAAUACGUUCCCGGGCCUUGUACACACCGCCCGUCAAGUCACGAAAGUUGGUAACACCCGAAGCCGAUUGCCUAACCACCUUGUGUGGGGGGCAGUCGUCNCAAGCGUGGGGCAUCUGGGGCUGAUUGGGGUA